RNAcentral lists this ribosomal RNA (253 nucleotides) under uncultured bacterium. RNAcentral describes it as "partial 16S ribosomal RNA". It matches the Rfam family "Bacterial small subunit ribosomal RNA", at positions 524 to 776 of the family's 1533-position model. The record is from RNAcentral.
UACGAACGGUGCAAGCGUUACUCGGAAUCACUGGGCGUAAAGCGCACGUAGGCGGACUUACAGGUCAAUUGUGAAAUACCUGAGCUCAACUCAGGAACUGCAGUUGAAACCGUUUGUCUUGAAUACCUGAGAGGGUGGGGGAAUACCUGGUGGAGAAGUGAAAUUCGUAGAUAUCUGCAGGAACACCCGUGGCGAAAGCGGCGCGCUGGACCACUACUGACGCUGAGGAACGAAAGCUAGGGGAGCAAACAGG